AGACUUUAAGGGAAUGAAGUUCUCCCUUGACUUAUGUCUAAACCGCUUUGGUAAGCUAAUGACUUCUGCAAGUUU
RNAcentral lists this non-coding RNA (75 nucleotides) under Clostridium sp. RNAcentral describes it as "Fluoride sequence". It matches the Rfam family "Fluoride riboswitch aptamer (crcB RNA motif)". Lineage: Bacteria; Bacillati; Bacillota; Clostridia; Eubacteriales; Clostridiaceae. RNAcentral also lists the same sequence under 1 other name. The record is from RNAcentral.